RNAcentral lists this transfer RNA (61 nucleotides) under Podarcis lilfordi (Lilford's wall lizard). RNAcentral describes it as "tRNA.Ser". Lineage: Eukaryota; Metazoa; Chordata; Lepidosauria; Squamata; Lacertidae. The record is from RNAcentral.
UUGUCCAUAAGCUCAGUCGGUAGAGCACAAGGGUUGUGGGUUCGAAUCCCACUUCGGUGAA